This 253-nucleotide ribosomal RNA is filed under the name uncultured bacterium. RNAcentral's name for it is "partial 16S ribosomal RNA". It matches the Rfam family "Bacterial small subunit ribosomal RNA", at positions 524 to 776 of the family's 1533-position model. The record is from RNAcentral.
UACAGAGGGGGCAAGCGUUAUUCGGAAUUAUUGGGCGUAAAGGGCGCGUAGGCGGCUUGGCAAGUGGAAGGUGAAAUCCUUCGGCUUAACCGAGGAACUGCCCUCCAAACUGCUUCGCUUGAGACCGGGAGAGGUGAGUGGAAUUCCCAGUGUAGCGGUGAGAUGCGUAGAUAUUGGGAGGAACACCAGUGGCGAAGGCGGCUCACUGGACCGGUACUGACGCUGAUGCGCGAAAGCGUGGGGAGCAAACGGG